This 414-nucleotide ribosomal RNA is filed under the name uncultured bacterium. Its description in RNAcentral is "bacterial SSU rRNA". It matches the Rfam family "Bacterial small subunit ribosomal RNA", at positions 9 to 414 of the family's 1533-position model. The record is from RNAcentral.
GAGUUUGAUCUUGGCUCAGGACGAACGCUGGCGGCGCGCUUAACACAUGCAAGUCGAGCGAGAACCAGUCCUUCGGGACUGGGACGAGCGGCGAACGGGUGGAGUAACACGUGGGUAAUCGACCCUUGGUACUGGGAUAGCCCGGGGAAACCCGGACUUAAUACCGGAUGGCCCAGCAGCUCUUCGGGGCGGCUGGAAAAGGUAGCUUCGGCCUCCGACCAAGGACGAGCCCGCGGCGGAUUAGCUUGUUGGCGGGGUAACGGCCCACCAAGGCGACGAUCCGUAGCUGGUCUGAGAGGACGAUCAGCCACACUGGGACUGAGACACGGCCCAGACUCCUACGGGAGGCAGCAGUGGGGAAUCUUGCGCAAUGGGCGAAAGCCUGACGCAGCGACGCCGCGUGGGGGAAGAAGG